GAAGGGGGCGGGGCCUCGCGGCCGGGCGCUUGGGCGGCGGAGGCUGCAGCUACCUCGGCGCCGGCUUGGCUCUAGGACGUGUCGGGCUGCCCCGGUCGGGGGCGGCUCCCUGCUGUCUCCAAGCCUAGCCGCCCGGCCUUCGGCAGUUGCAGGCAGACACACUGCCCUCCAGAAACGAUGGGUGUCGCUAGACCCAGCUGGGACUCUGCCAGGCUCCGGUGCUCAGUCUAAGAGAAGGGCUAUCUUCCAGCCCUGCUCUCCCUGCCUGUCAUGGCCACAUUCGGCUGCUGUCUGCUUGUCUGGGGACAGAGGGCACCCAGCCCCAGCCCUGAGAAGUUAAGCCAGUCCUUCUGGCUCAGUUCCACAGGGGCACUCCAGGCCCCAGGCCCCUUUCAGAGCAAAAGCAACUGAUGCCAUGGGAGAAGCCCCUGCCCACCUGUCCACUCGCCUGGCACUGCCCACUCUGAGACCCAUGCACUGGGUUCCCCUGGAGGUGCCAACCCUGUGAGUCCCUCCCUGUCCCCUGACGCUGAGAAGGCCCUGCCCACCCCCACCAUGUGUGAGGUGAUGCCCACAAUCAACGAGGGGGACCCCCUGGGGCCCCCCCAUGGCGCCGAUGCUGACGCCAACUUCGAGCAGCUGAUGGUGAACAUGCUGGAUGAGCGGGAGAAGUUGCUGGAGUCUCUUCGGGAGAGUCAGGAGACUUUGGCAGCCACACAGAGCCGGCUCCAGGAUGCCCUGCAUGAGAGGGACCAGCUCCAGCGCCACCUUAACUCUGCCCUCCCCCAGGAAUUUGCCACCUUAACUCGGGAGCUGAGCAUGUGUCGGGAGCAGCUUCUAGAGCGGGAGGAAGAGAUAUCAGAGCUGAAAGCAGAAAGGAAUAACACACGGCUGCUUCUGGAACAUCUGGAGUGCCUGGUGUCCCGCCAUGAACGGUCACUGCGGAUGACUGUGGUAAAGCGCCAGGCCCAGUCACCUUCGGGGGUCUCCAGCGAGGUGGAGGUGCUGAAGGCCCUCAAGUCACUGUUUGAGCACCACAAGGCCUUGGAUGAGAAGGUGCGAGAGCGGCUCCGGGCAGCGCUGGAGCGAGUCACCACCUUGGAGGAGCAGCUGGCAGGUGCCCACCAGCAGGUGUCGGCCCUGCAGCAGGGGGCAGGGGUCCGUGAUGGAGCAGCAGAUGAGGAAGGGACCAUGGAGCUGGGGCCGAAGCGCCUGUGGAAGAGCUCACUGUCCUUGGAGGAGGAUGCUGGCCGGGUAGAGGAGCUGCAGGAGCUCCUAGAGAAGCAGAACUUUGAGUUGAGCCAGGCCCGGGAGCGACUGGUCACCCUGACAGCAGCUGUGACGGAACUUGAGGAGGACCUGGGCACGGCCCGCCGGGACCUCAUCAAGUCAGAGGAGCUGAGCAGCAAGCACCGGCGGGACCUCCGGGAGGCUCUGGCCCAGAAGGAGGACAUGGAAGAGCGGAUUACUACACUGGAGAAGCGCUACCUGGCUGCUCAGCGUGAGGCCACAUCCAUCCAUGACCUCAAUGACAGACUGGAGAACGAGCUGGCCAACAAGGAGUCCUUGCACCGCCAGUGUGAGGAGAAGGCCCGACAACUGCAGGAGCUGCUGGAGGCGGCAGAGCAGAAGCUGCAGCAGACGAUGCGCAGGGCAGAGACGUUGCCAGAGGUGGAGGCUGAGCUGGCCCAGAGAAUUGCAGCCCUCACCAAGGCUGAAGAACGGCAUGGCAACAUUGAGGAGCACCUGCGGCAGCUGGAGGGACAGCUGGAGGAGAAGAACCAGGAGCUGGCACGGGUGCGCCAGCGGGAAAAGAUGAAUGAGGAUCACAACAAGCGGCUGUCGGACACAGUGGACCGGCUGCUCAGCGAGUCCAACGAGCGUCUACAGCUCCACCUGAAGGAGCGCAUGGCAGCCCUGGAGGAGAAGAACACGUUGAUCCAGGAGUUGGAGAGCUCCCAGCGGCAGAUUGAGGAGCAGCACCACCACAAGGGCCGCCUGUCUGAAGAGAUUGAGAAGCUGCGCCAAGAGGUGGACCAGCUGAAGGGCCGAGGGGGGCCGUUUGUGGACGGCGUCCACGCCAGGCCACACAUGGGCAGUGCAGCAGAUGUGCGGUUCUCCCUGGGUGCAACCACCCACGUAUCCCCAGGCGCACAUCGCCGCUACUCGGCAUUGAGGGAAGAGUCUGCCAAGGACUGGGAGACUUCUCCUUUGCCUGGGAUGCUGGCCCCGUCAGCCACCCCUGCCUUUGACAGUGACCUUGAGAUCUCCGACAUGGAUGAGGAUGAGCCAGGAGGUCUGGUGGGCUCCACAGACGUUGUCUCCCCCAGUGGCCACUCAGAUGCCCAGACCCUGGCCAUGAUGCUGCAGGAGCAGCUGGAUGCCAUCAACGAGGAAAUCAGGAUGAUUCAGGAAGAGAAGGAGUCCACGGAGCUCCGCGCGGAGGAGAUUGAGACGCGUGUGACCAGCGGCAGCAUGGAGGCCCUAAACCUGAAGCAGCCGCGCAAGCGCGGAUCCAUCCCCACCUCUCUGACGGCCCUGUCCUUGGCCAGCGCGUCCCCACCGCUCAGCGGCCGCUCCACACCUAAGCUCACCUCCCGCAGCGCAGCCCAGGACCUGGACCGGAUGGGGGUCAUGACCCUGCCCAGUGAUUUAAGAAAGCAUAGGAGGAAGCUGCUGUCGCCAGUGUCUCGGGAAGAGAACCGAGAGGAUAAAGCCACCAUAAAAUGUGAGACUUCUCCUCCUUCCUCACCCAGGACGCUGCGGCUAGAGAAGCUUGGCCACCCAGCCCUGAGCCAGGAGGAAGGCAAGAGUGCCUUGGAGGAUCAGGGCAGCAAUCCCAGCAGCAGCAACAGCAGCCAGGACUCCCUGCACAAAGGCGCCAAGCGGAAGGGCAUCAAGUCGUCCAUUGGCCGCCUGUUUGGGAAGAAGGAGAAGGGCAGACUGAUCCAGCUGAGUCGGGAUGGAGCCACAGGCCAUGUUAUGCUAACAGACUCCGAGUUCAGUAUGCAGGAGCCUAUGGUGCCUGCCAAGCUGGGGACCCAGGCAGAGAAGGACCGGCGACUGAAGAAGAAACACCAGCUGCUUGAAGAUGCCCGCAGAAAAGGAAUGCCCUUUGCCCAGUGGGAUGGUCCGACUGUGGUCUCCUGGCUGGAGCUCUGGGUAGGGAUGCCUGCCUGGUACGUGGCAGCUUGCCGGGCCAACGUCAAGAGUGGUGCCAUCAUGUCCGCCCUGUCGGACACAGAGAUCCAGCGGGAGAUUGGCAUCAGCAAUGCCCUGCACCGGCUCAAGCUCCGCCUGGCCAUUCAGGAGAUGGUGUCACUGACCAGUCCUUCCGCCCCGCCCACCUCCAGGACUUCUUCUGGGAAUGUCUGGGUUACCCAUGAAGAGAUGGAAACUCUGGAAACAUCUACUAAAACAGACAGUGAGGAGGGCAGCUGGGCUCAGACCCUGGCCUAUGGGGACAUGAACCAUGAGUGGAUUGGGAACGAAUGGCUGCCCAGCCUGGGGCUCCCGCAGUACCGCAGCUACUUCAUGGAGUGCCUGGUGGACGCCCGCAUGCUGGACCACCUCACCAAGAAGGACCUGCGGGUCCACCUGAAGAUGGUGGACAGCUUCCAUCGAACCAGUCUUCAGUAUGGCAUCAUGUGUCUGAAGAGGCUGAAUUAUGACCGGAAGGAGCUGGAGAAGAGGCGAGAGGAGAGCCAGCACGAGAUCAAGGAUGUGCUGGUUUGGACCAACGACCAGGUGGUUCAUUGGGUCCAGUCUAUUGGGCUCCGGGACUACGCAGGAAACCUUCAUGAGAGUGGUGUGCAUGGAGCCUUGCUGGCCCUGGAUGAGAACUUCGACCACAACACGCUGGCCCUGAUCCUCCAGAUCCCCACACAGAACACCCAGGCACGUCAAGUGAUGGAAAGAGAGUUCAAUAACCUCUUGGCUUUGGGCACAGACCGGAAGCUGGAUGACGGGGAUGACAAGGUGUUCCGCCGCGCGCCCUCCUGGAGGAAGCGCUUCCGGCCGCGGGAGCACCACGGCGGCGGCAUGCUCAGCGCCUCGGCAGAGACCCUCCCGGCGGGCUUCCGCGUGUCCACCCUGGGGCCCCUGCAGCCCCCACCGGCCCCGCCAAAGAAGAUCAUGCCUGAAGCCGGGACGGCGGGGGCGCAGAGACUGGAGACCUCCACGGUUCGGACCUACUCCUGCUGACCCCCCACCCUCCCGCCCUGGGUCUGACGGGGGUGUGCCCGUGGCUCGGGCUCACUCCCACUAUCUCUACGGACACAUGCUCUCCGCCUUCCGGGACUAGCCGCAGCCCCCAGGGCGGGCUUCCUCCUCCUGGGUUUCACAGGCUGCAGACCCCUCCUGCUCGUUCCCCUUCCUUCCACGGCUCCCAGUCUCAUCCGUGACUUUCCGGUUGCCCUGGAUCUCAGAAUAUACUCGUCCACCUCCUCUGCACCCCACAACCCCCAGUCCCACCAUGUGUCCUUUGUAAGUGUGGUGGAUGUGGCUGGGGUCUCCUGGUAUCGUGGAGGCACCCAGGUUGUCCACGCUCGGUAUUCUGGGGGAAGGAAAGAAGGGCAGUCCAGGGUGGAUGUGAAGCCACCCUUCCUCUUCUGGAGCCAGUCUGGUCUGCACUGCAACCUCCACCAGGACCAGGAUCCUGGGCCACAGGAUGGGAUGGUGCUUCCAAGAAAGGGUCAUUUCACAGGCUGCCCUGCUUGGGCUAUUCAACCUUAGGGUCUCUGUCCACGUCUGGCUGUGCCAAACAGUCUGGCAGCUGGUUUUGGAACCCCCAGCAUCACUACUCUCCCAACCUAUCACCAUGACUUCAGUUCCUGUCCCCAUUCUUUUGGGGACAGGGAGGGCCUGGGAGGGGCUACAGGAGGACCCCAUUCUCCCUAAGGAUGGUGAGGCUGGGAGGAGGAAGGCUGAGGUAGAGAUUCCAGGCCCUGGCAUAAGCUGAAUCCCAAAUGUGGGUUUGGGAAGAACCGGAGAGAAAUGGAUCCCUGAACUCUGGGCCAAGGGUGAGGAAGGGGAAAUUCUAAGCCCCUGCCCUAUAAGAGGUAGGCAGACCAGGCAGAGGGAGAGCCAAUGGCCUCUGGUAGCCUUAAGCCCAAAGGGCAGUGGGAAUGUCCCCUGCCCCAACCGUCGGGUGGAGCUCCUGCUGGGCUGUGGGGAGGGGAGGUUGUGUGGAUCUUGGCUCUGGGGCAGAACGGAUCUGACCGUGCAUUGCUGACUCUGUUUCCAGUAUCCUCUCCCCUCUUCUCCCCUCUGCCUCACUUCUUUAGUAACCCCAGCCCUAUAAAAAUGAACCUGAGGGGUGGAUUGAAUAUACAUUGACCCUAAAGUCAAGUAUGGGGAAAAGGCAGACUGAGGCAUCCUUUCUCUGACAUCCCAGGAAGAAAAUAGCUUCUCCUGCAGUGAUUCAUGUCCAAGGUCCAGGAGAUCCAGUGUUGGUGAAGGCAGCCAUUCUCCUGCUUAUCCCCAAGAUCACCCACCCAGCCCUAACCCAGGCUCUUUUGGUGUGCAGGGACUGCCUCCUCCCAGAAUUCCUAAGAUCCACCCAGCUUCCACCAUGUUCAUUGCUUUCCCCAGCAGCAUGGUGAGAACUGGGGCUGAGAGAUACAGGUCCUGAUUUGGUAGGAAUAUUAUUCCCAAGAAAUUCCCCCUCCUCACCUACUCCCUCAUCCUGCCAAGGUGCCUGAAUACGUUCAAGACUUAUGUUCAGGAUGGGAUGAUGGACCCUAGGGCUUCAUCAAAGUGAGAAGAAAGGAAAAGCAUCUGGCACGUGUUUCUUGGAGAGGGGCCAGGGCAGUGCCAUCCUACAGGUGGCUGGAGCAGCUGCUUUGCAACCCGAUCACCUUGAGUUCUGAGCAGGGAUAGGCUUGCAGGUGAGAUAAUGGGCCAGGGCACCCAGUCCAGAAGGAGCAGUGGCACCUGGGCAGUCCCAGGGCUUAGAGCUUGCUGCCCCUUUUCGGUAGAGGAGAGGCUCAUCAGUGGUGUGGCGGGGUGGGCUCUCCCCUAGGCUUGGGCAAGGCAGCCACCUGCCCUUGCUCUCCCUUAUUGUUCCCCGGCCUCCCUGCCAUCAAGUUCUGGGAGUGGAGAUGGAGGGAUUAUUGAGCAGAAAAUGAGUUGAAUGGAGAUAAGGAGCUCCCAUCCCUGGGUAUUGGAUGUUAAGAUGAUAGAGAUUCCUAAGAUUGGUGGAGGUGGGCACUGCACAGCCAUCUGACUCCAUCAGGGUGCUCUUGAUGGGCUGGCUGUAUGGGACACUCAGUCCCAGCCUCUCCCCUCUACAAAUCCUGCCACUUUUGGCCAUGUUGUAAUGCAGCAGCUGUGCCAGGGAAGCUGGGUCCAUUCAGGGCACCUUGAGAAUUAUUACAGGGAGGUGAUGAGAAGCGAAAUCUGUGCCAACAGUGAUGGAAGGCUGUUGUCUUGGUGUGUCCCUUGCCUCAUAGUCAAUAUAUUUUUUUCUUUGGAGAGUCACCAGUGACCCGAGCCCUCCACACCAGCCUCCUGUAUCUCAUCAGGUCCCUUCUCAGUACUGUAUUGGCUCAGUGCAUCAGGAAUGGGUGUAUGGGUGUGUGUGGGUGUGAGUGUGAGUGUGUAUAUACCAAUAAACAACCUGGUUUUAAGAUAAUGUA
Saimiri boliviensis boliviensis (Bolivian squirrel monkey) is the source of this 6638-nucleotide RNA transcript. It is a transcript of the gene named PTPRF interacting protein alpha 4, with no coding region annotated. Lineage: Eukaryota; Metazoa; Chordata; Mammalia; Primates; Cebidae. The record is from RefSeq and is a predicted model, not a curated record.